Molecule: ribosomal RNA, 534 nt
Filed under: Arsenophonus endosymbiont of Bemisia tabaci
Lineage: Bacteria; Pseudomonadati; Pseudomonadota; Gammaproteobacteria; Enterobacterales; Morganellaceae
Description: partial 23S ribosomal RNA
Rfam family: Bacterial large subunit ribosomal RNA
Source: RNAcentral
CGAGGCGAACCGGGGAAACUGAAACAUCUCAGUACCCCGAGUAAAAGAAAUCAACCGAGAUUCCCCCAGUAGCGGCGAGCGAACGGGGAGCAGCCCAGAGUCAACAUCAAUAUUUACCACAGGAGAAGGGUCUGGAAAAGCCGGCAAUAAAGGGUGAUAGCCCCGUAUCUAAAGCGGUAAGUGUUGUGAACUCGAAGAGUAAGGCGGGACACGUGUUAUCCUGUCUGAAUAUGGGGGGACCAUCCUCCAGGGCUAAAUACUCCUGACUGACCGAUAGUGAACCAGUACCGUGAGGGAAAGGCGAAAAGAACCCCGGCGAGGGGAGUGAAAUAGAACCUAAAACCGUGUACGUACAAGCAGUAGGAGCACCCGAAAGGGUGUGACUGCGUACCUUUUGUAUAAUGGGUCAGCGACUUAUAUUCUGUAGCAAGGUUAACCGCAUAGGGGAGCUGUAGGGAAACCGAGUCUUAACUGGGCGUUAAGUUGCAGGGUAUAGACCCGAAACCCGGUGAUCUAGCCAUAAGCAGGUUGAAG